This 76-nucleotide transfer RNA is filed under the name Candidatus Scalindua rubra. RNAcentral describes it as "tRNA-Arg". It matches the Rfam family "tRNA". Rfam says of the family: Transfer RNA (tRNA) molecules are approximately 80 nucleotides in length. The record is from RNAcentral. Lineage: Bacteria; Pseudomonadati; Planctomycetota; Candidatus Brocadiia; Candidatus Brocadiales; Candidatus Scalinduaceae.
UGCGCCCGUAGCUCAGAAGGAUAGAGCGACGGUUUCCUAAACCGUAGGUCACAGGUUCGAUUCCUGUCGGGCGUAU